AGCGCCAUUACUGUUACUCUGCACAUGAUGGACCAUCGACUGAGACGCACAAGAACAGCCAAGACGCUCCUGGUUCAGAGAACAUCAUCAGCAGACAUCAUCAACCUGUUGAUCCGGCAUUAAGAUGAGAUGCUGCUUCAGCGAGGUACAAAAGCACCAGCGUCAAUAAACACUCUGGUCUGUAAAAAAUGUGCACCAGAUGUGCAGCUUAAAGCCACAGAUAUACACUCAUCCCAUCUAUUGAAGCCUGAAUGACCUGCAGUGCUG
This is a long non-coding RNA of Trichomycterus rosablanca, 267 nucleotides long. RefSeq lists it as uncharacterized. The record is from RefSeq and is a predicted model, not a curated record. NCBI's taxonomy places the organism in Eukaryota, Metazoa, Chordata, Actinopteri, Siluriformes, Trichomycteridae. The transcript is spliced from 3 exons.